Molecule: long non-coding RNA, 1001 nt
Filed under: Homo sapiens (human)
Lineage: Eukaryota; Metazoa; Chordata; Mammalia; Primates; Hominidae
Description: HSALNT0229984
Source: RNAcentral
AGAGGGCUGGUCCCGCGGUGGACACAAGGGUGAGGGGUGCAGGGAGGAGGGGGAAGGCAGGAGCUGGAGCAGGAACCCCCAUGCCGAGGCUGUGGCCCCACCUCCCUGACACCCUCUCUCCCCACACCCUCACUCCUGCGCACACACACAGACCUGCAACUCACCCCGUCUGUGAAGAAGCUCCGGAGCAACGGCAGGCUGGACCAAGAGCCUCCUGAGGGCAGGGACAGCGUCUUCCCCAUCAGACUGAGAGCUUCCUAAGGGCAAAAGCUCCCCCAUCAGCUGGGGCUCCUCGAGGGCAGAGAUGACAUCUCCCAUCAAACAGAGUGUGCUCUGGAAGAAGAGACUGCCUCUCCCGGCCACAGCCUAGAGCCUUUCAUCAGGGAUCAGUGGUGUGGAUGGGGCCCUUGAGACAAUCCAGUGAGAUCUGGAAGUGAAGAAAAAGAUUAUAAUCUGGGAUAAAUAUAAAAAAUUACAAUAAAAAUUUUAUUGCAAAUUUACAAAUUAUGGUUGUUUAUAUGUACAUGGUAAAGGGCAAUGUUAUGAUUUGUUAAUACAAUAUGAAAUAACUAAGAUAAUUAAGAAAUAACUGAUAUAAUUAUCAUUCAUUGUUUCAAAUUUUUAUCUUUUAUUGUGACAACAUUUAACAUUUACUCUUAGCUCUUUAAAAUGACCAAUGUACUAUUUUAAAUGAACCAAUAGAAACCAAUUUAUGUAAACAAUUGAAAAUCUGGGAAAUCAAUUAUGAAUUACUGUAAUAAUUUAAUAAUUAAAAGUUAAUAAUGUAGUUAAUUAAGUUUGAUUUUUUCAAACUUUUUUUAUCAUUUCAUUGUAAUAUUUAAUACAAAUGCCUACAUAUAUAUGCAUUGGUCUGUGUAUUUAUACAUCUUUCUAUGGGUAUAAAUUUUUGUCCCUAUAGCUAUGUAGUUGCUGAUGUCAACAAAUGUUAAUAAAACUCUGGAAGAAUCAGUGCAAACAAUUAGGAAUGUUUAUUUCUUGAA